AACAACUCGAGGGCGGAGGCCAGGGAACUGCCGCCCGGCUUUACGUAACUUGACCCACAGGCGGGCGGCGGCAGGUGGCUGCACCCGGCGAGCAAGGUGCUCGAAGCCCCGAGAACGCAGGACGCCGCUCGGGCAGCGAGACGGCCGGGAAGCACGAGAGGCCGGGGAGCGGCGGCGGCCUCCUUACCUUUCCAGAUGCCCAGAGAGAGCUGGGACGUGUCCAAGUCCACCACAUAGUCCCCCAAGAACCGGUUCAACACGUCCACGACCACCGACUCGAAAACCAUGUUCCUCAGCCGUGGUGGGCACGGCAGCCGGCCCGUGCGCUCCUCCUCCCGCCGCCUUCCCCACGCCCCUCCCUCGAGAGUGACACGCUUCCCUGCAGAUAAGAGUUAGAGUCAGCCGGUCUGGAAACUGCUGAACACCCUCCAAGAAAUACUGGGAGUGCUGGACCCUUGACCCCUAUGCCUCCACCGAACCACUGACCUAAAAUAAAUUACAAUUACAGAUCUUUCG
This 516-nucleotide non-coding RNA is filed under the name Pan troglodytes (chimpanzee). The record is from RNAcentral. Lineage: Eukaryota; Metazoa; Chordata; Mammalia; Primates; Hominidae.